Non-coding RNA from Aegilops tauschii subsp. strangulata, 4413 nucleotides. NCBI's taxonomy places the organism in Eukaryota, Viridiplantae, Streptophyta, Magnoliopsida, Poales, Poaceae. The record is from RefSeq and is a predicted model, not a curated record.
UAUAUUUAACCAUUAUUUAUCCUUAUAUCUUAAGUCUAAUCAUAUUGAUGCUAUGCACCUUCAGUGUAAACCACUAAAUCAGAAACCGUAGAAGCAUUAAUAAAUGGGGCACACAAUUAACCUCACAAAGAUGCAUCACCAUGUAUCACAAUCUAAAGAUACAACUUGUGCUACCAUGACUUUGUGUAACCACACCUAUCUUUUGAUACAAAGUAAGUGUGCACGUGCAACACACGUAUUAUAUCUAUAAUUAAAACAUUUUAAAUCUUAAUCUUGAUCCAAGACGAACAACAGACAUAGCCCAAGAAUAUCCUAAGUUUUCAAGUCUUUAUUUCUUAUAUCAUCAUCAUUGAAUUCAAGUCGAGUAAAAUGACGACUAUUUUUUUCUAAAACGUCUCAUGUGAACGUAAAGUCAAGUAGUAAUAAGAAUUUUUUUGAAAUACCGACACGCCACAAAAUAAUAAGUAUCAUAAUAUGAAGCAAAAUGUACCUGUUCCGGAUUGUCGGACACAAUAUUUCUCGUGAAGUACUCCAUGAAAUUUAACAUCCAGAGACCACAAGAUGACCUACAUGAUUACAAUUUUUUGAUAUGUUCAAUAACAAACAUCAAUAAAGAUCUCAAUAGUUGUAUAAAACUAUCAAAAUGGUUAUGACUGGACAUUUUUCUAAAUCCUUGUGACAUAUAAAAACAUAGCACCCACAUAGUCAACUCGGACACACCCAAUAUGUUUUUUGGUCAACAUCCGAUGCUAAUAUAAACCAAAUGACGGAAGGGCUAUUGAUAAACAAAAUGACUUGGCAUCUCAGAAAAACUGACUUGGCAUCUCAGAAAAACUGACUUGGACAACGUCUAUAUUUUUUUUAGAGGAACGCCUAUGCUUAUUAGUACUUGACCAAAAAGGCUUCGAUCUAAAAAGAAAAAAGAAAGAAAAAGAAUAGACACGCAGACGCUUAUCCCUUCACUCUCUCACCACCACUCCCCAUUCCAUGGUGGCCUCCGCCUGUUCUCCUCGCUGCCUGCUCUCCUCCGCAUGUCGCGCCGUCGCACGGCACCUCCUCUCUGCUGCUACGAUGUCGGCCGGCGCCUCCUCCUCCACCCCUCUGCCUCGCCCUGCCGCCUCCUCUCCGCACGAGAGCCUCGCCUCACCAGCAAACCCGCCGGUCUUCCCUAGAUAAACUCUGUCGCUGCCAUCCCCAUGUCCCAGCGCAGAUCUAGACGGGAGCUAGAGGGGCAUGCUGGACACGAUGCGGGAGCGGACAUAUCAUAGCGGACCAAGAUCGAGUGCGUCUACGUGCCUGCCGUCAUCGUUGGCCCUCGUGCUUGGCUCCCACACUCGCUCUGGGUAGGCGCUCGCAGCUCGCCUACUGCUCGGCUGCUCCAGGAUUGUAAAAAAAAUAUGGAAUGGCGAUUCUGGGAGAAGCUGGGGAGGAGGGGGGCGAUUCUGGAAGAAUCGCCGAAAAAAACUGGCCCGGACUCAGGUAGUCGCAAUUGGAUGUCAGCUUCUUAAUCAGUACUCAUAGUUUUUGUGGUUUACCAUGCAAGUGUUGGGUGCCAUUCUCAAUGACCUUCUGAUGAGGCAUGCUGAAUAAUUAUGUGGUUUAGCAAUUAACAAAAUCAUUUGACAAUUGAAGUGGAAAUGAAAUUCUAGUAUUAUCUUACUAAAUUGUGAGAUUCAGGAUCUGGUUGAUAUUUUGAGAGUUUUUACCAUUUAGGUUUGUGGUAACGCACAUCAGGAAUGCACACUUUAUUUAUUUUUAAGUGUGUACCUAUCAUUUGUUGUGUUUUAACAUAUCUUGCCACUACUAUGUAGUUAAGGCACAACGUGAGGCUGCAGCAGAAGCUUGAGGAAUGCAGGGGCUAAUGAUAGUACUCAUCAACCAAAAUUACCGGCGUUGUCAACCAUGCUUUGAACUUUUGGAGAUCAAGCUGUACGGUUGUACCAUGAAGAUUUUUAGUAACUACCUCAACUCUCAUGAGAUGAUUAGCUUAGAAAAUCGAGAUAUUUUCUCAUUAAUUUCAGCUGUUCUGAUGAGGCACAUAGUUUUGUGCUUGGGGUGCUAAAAAAGAAUAGGAUGUUUUCUUUUUUAUACAUCUCGUUCCUUAUCCUUGCGUCAGAACAAAAAGGAGAUAAGAAUACUUGGUCUUUACAUGGAAAGGAUGCUCCUAUGGUUAUUGUGAUCUCAAAUUUUGCAUAAUUUCUUCUAAUGUUUUAUUUACUCUUUUACUAGCUUCCCUGUCUUUGCUUUUUUAUUGUGGCGUUUAUUUGCCCACCCUGGCAUGCUCUGUUACCCAAGCUGCAGUUUAAGGAUUCAAGUGGCGAUUGCAACCCAAAACAUUGCGAAGAAUCUGCUGCCAGAGGCUUCAUUAUGCACACCUUUUCUUUUUACAAAAUGGAGUCUAAUCUGCUGUCAUCACAGCAACAGGUAUGCCUACAUCACCAAUGUUUGUACAGUGACAUUUAUUCACACACAAAUGAAGAUAUUCUAAGGUUAGAAUGAACAUCACCUUCAGCACCUGGUGUGUAUCGUAGUUGGGUGACAGAAGAUUGCGCAGUGGGCCUCUCGGCAGUGUGAAAAUCCGGUAGAAGAAAUCACCUGAUCAUAUAUUUGAUUAUACUUCUGAUUUCUCAAUCAUAUAUAAAGAACAGAAUAUAAUGGACAAACCAGGUGAUAUUGCCGCGGGUGUCCUAGAUGGGGUGUGUUCUGCAUUAUGAAUAGUAGAUGUAGCUUUCUUAUGAGCCAUGUUUAGUGCAUACCUCUCCCUUUCCCUUUGUCUCUUCAACUCUUUAGGACCUACCAUUUGGCCUGCGUGGACGAAAUCUUUACCUUGGCUCGAGUUGGUGAAUAUUUAAGUUACUUACCUGAGUUGGUGAUGUUGAAUAGGUCCUGAAAUGGGGUCCCUAAGUCAUCACGCCGAGUCGUAAUUAUUGACAUUUUCCUUGUUACAAAAUGAGCUCCGGUUUGAUUUGAAGGAAUUUGGAUCAUGAAAUGUAGCCUGAUCAAACAUCAUCACAUCAACAUUUAUGCCUAUACCACCAAUGUCAGUACAGUAAUAGUUUUUCACACACAAAUGGAGUCCAAAUUCGUUAGGCCGAGAGGAUGCCAUAUGCAACUGUCUCAAUCAGGAUCUUAGUGUUCCCAAUCAUGGUUGUUGUACAUGAAAGAUUUACUUGAUCCAUAAACAGGAUGGUUGCAGGAGAAAAAUAAGUAUAAUGAUUUGGUGUUUUCAAUGCUUCGAGCUGAAAAACAGUUCAGUUACUUGAAUUGCUGAUGUUGGUUAGGUCAUGAAAUGGAGUCCCUAAGUCGGUACACCGAGAGGAUGCCAUAUGUAACUGUCACAAUCAGGAUCUUAGUGUUCCCAAUCAUGGUUGUUGUACUUGAAAGAUUCAGUUAUGAGCCAUAAACAGGAUGGUUGUAGGAGAAAAAGAAGUACAAUGAUUUGGUGCUUUCAAUGCUUUGAGCUGAAAACCAGCUCAGAUUAUAUGCUUCCAGCGGUGAAACUGCUUGUCACAUUAGUCUUUUUCAUUGUAUUUUAGCGCUUCCGGUGAUUCCUUCUCUGUCAUCAUUGUACUUCCCGUCGGCCUUCUUAGUAUCAGAAAUGCUGGAGAAGAGCUACGCGGCGGGCACGAAGUCCUUCCCGGCGAACAGGUAUCCGUCGGGGACUCGAACGUCCGCCAUACGACCACGUCGUCAGCGCGGAACAACACAAAGUUGUCGUCAUCGCUCAUGGCGCCCGCGACUCAGGCAGAUCUGAUUGGGCGACCAGGUGGUUUCCAUUGGCCGUGGAAAUCAUACCUGGCUGAUCUGAUGGGGCUGUCUGCUGCUUCAAAACUCAGGCAAAUUGCUGCAUAAUAAUCUUGUUGUAGCCUGACCAAUCUGUGAAUAUUUGAUUGUAGGUGAAGGAGGAGCGGCCACCCACUCGACGGUGCGGUGCAGGGUGGCAAGGGUGCCCGGCAGGGAGGCGUCGACACGGUGCAGGGCCGCGAGGGAACCGUCCAGGGAGGCGACGAUGCGAUGCAGGGAUCGAGGCCGCCGUGCAAGGACGUGACGGGGCUGCUGAGCUUCGUCUGGGGCGGUGGCGAGGAAAGGCAAGGAGAGGGACGAGGGAGACGAUUAGGUUUAGUUUCCUUUUUUUUGAAUUUAUUAGAUGGUUAGAUUAGCGUGAUUUGAGGGGCUGCGGAGGUGGGAUGGAGAGUUUCAUAUUUUCAUCUGGUGGAGUAUGGUCAGUCUAUGUAAACUGCUAAGCGCACACCACAUGUCGAAUAAAUUAAUGGUGGCUGUUAGAUUGGGUCGUGUGGGCUUCAUCCUGUGGUGGUGAUGUGUCUGUGUACAUUUUGCGGGGUGUACGUAAGAAAGUUCUUGUUCGAUUGUUUAAUGGUUGUGGAGAUUGGGAAAGAAUUAAAGUGUGCUGGA